CAUGAGCACUUCCUAUGUUGAGUUUAUACCAAUGUCUAGCUUUUCCCGUUAAAGAGAACGGAAAGAGCUUCCAUUUAAGGGUCUCAUCAGACAUGCCUUCAAUGCGAAGGAGGUCACAGUCUUGAUAAAACUCUCUUAGGUGUGUGUAUGGGUUUUCCUCACCUUCUCCUGAGAAAGGUUGUUUUUGAAGAAAUUCUAUGUAUUCCGGGCUUAUCUCAAAACUAGAUGUCAUAAUAGGCUUUGAAGAUUUUGGUGGUUCGAGAUGUGUGCCCAUAGGUCUAUUAAACUGAUAGAUAGACAUGUUUGCCUUCAUGAUAGACCAGAGAUCAAGUAUUAGAUAAGAAGAAAGAAUAGCAGAGAUAAGGCAAAGGAUAAAAGGAAAAAAUAUAUAUUUAUUUUAUUUAUUUAUUAUUUUUUUAUUUUUUAGAAAAUGAUAAAGCUAGUUUGUAGUCAACUCAGCAACCGUUUCCCCGGCAACGGCGCCAAAAAGCUUGUUGACACUUGCUAACACCACUUGAAUACUAGGUUGUCAUCCCCAGCAUGGCACUAGAGUGUACUAUGGUAUUUAUACUCACACAGAUAAAUCCGCAAGCGCACGGAUACCGUUGUAGCUUUUACCCGGUUAAAGAUUUUAUCGUAUCCACAGGGAAAUGGUAGAACCAACUACGCUCUAACUUAACCAAGAUAGAUAGAUAGGUGUAAAUAGGAAAGAUGGUAGAAUUGAAUAAGAACAAUAUUAAAGGUAAGAUAACAAUGGGUGAUAAUAUGGGAAUAUAGUGUAGAGCAAUCUAGUAUAUGGGCGAUGGUAGGAGAGUAGAGAGGAUAACUAUGGUUUCUCUACUUCAAAGGGGUAUGUCUAUGUAUGGGACGAACCACGUGAUAAGAUUACACCACAACGGAUGCUUAUCCAUAGGCCGAUAAACCCUACCAGUCCUGCUAACAGGAGGUGGACUACAGAGGACCAAUGUAGCUGUCACCUACGUGGCCUACCACACGAUCCGGCUAGACAGGGGAUAUCCACAAGUAAUUUAGGUCCAAGCACCACGCUUACACCUAUACUACAACUCUCACCUAUAGCGUCCUAUAGAUUAAAGUACUCAAAAGAGUUGUGAACCAGAACAUACAUGGAUAGUAAUUGCAUAAUGAAAUAGAAGUAGAUUACCAGAGUCAUCCCAUGAGCAAGCUUGAGUAGAGCUUGAUCAUGGCGAAGUACAACUAGAGGAAGAACCGACAGGGCGGCCUCUCCUCCAAUCCUCCCUCGCUCUCCAUCUCGCUAUUAUCUAGAUCUACUCUAGUUUAGAGAUGAGAGGAGAGCUCUCAUCUCCAAACCCUAGCUUUUGCUCUGUCUAUGAAU
This 1354-nucleotide long non-coding RNA is filed under the name Sorghum bicolor (sorghum). Its description in RNAcentral is "long non-coding RNA (SBIC_LNC014314)". Lineage: Eukaryota; Viridiplantae; Streptophyta; Magnoliopsida; Poales; Poaceae. The record is from RNAcentral.